CAGAAACUUGAGAAGUGAAUGAGCUUAAAGGUGUGUAUUUUAACCUGCCCUGCGCUCAUCAGGGUGAAAAGCUGAACAUUCUCUGCACGGAAGUGGGAAAUUUGUUGAUUGCGAGAGUCAGGAGUGGAGAAGAAGAAGCUCUCUCCCCCUCAUCCUUCUGUAGCCGUCGAUGACAGACUGGAGUGCAGUUUGACUCGGGAUAGAAAUCCAUCCUGACUUGUGUUAACCUCCCUCCCUGCACCAUCGUGCUGCAGCUGCUGAGCCCCACCAUGAGGCCUGGUCCUUUCCCCUGCUGGUGCUCUGGCAGUCAGAGCCUUCCUGGCACAGGGAUCUGGGGACAUAAAUUCCAGAUGAGCACCUUUGAUUCCCUCAGACAAUGAUAAUGCAGAGAUGAUUGACACCUACAGCUUGGGAAGAGAUGUGCUCAGCACUGAUCCCAGAGGAUGUGCCUUUCAGCAGGAAGCAGGAGAAGCAGAGCAGAUCCAUGUGCAGCCCCAGGUGUGUUCCAGGAGUUCUGGGAGCUGGGAAGAGCAUCUGUCUUUGAGCCAGGUCUGCUCCCAGAGGAGGUGGAGGACACGGCAGUGAAACUGGAUGUUGUGUUCUCACCAUAUAAGAGAGACUAAAAAUAGCUUGGAGGAGUUGUGGAAAAUCCUGUGUUCCUGAAGUAUCUUUUGAUGUCUCUUUAUCUCAGGAUAGGAUGGGAUUUUUUGGUUGGGAUUUUUUUGUUUUGUUUUGGUUUGGUUUUGUUUGGUUUGGUUUGUUUUUUGGGGAGG
RNAcentral lists this long non-coding RNA (773 nucleotides) under Serinus canaria (Common canary). RNAcentral describes it as "lncRNA (ENSSCAG00000009729.1)". The record is from RNAcentral. Lineage: Eukaryota; Metazoa; Chordata; Aves; Passeriformes; Fringillidae.